Molecule: ribosomal RNA, 301 nt
Filed under: uncultured bacterium
Lineage: Bacteria
Description: partial 16S ribosomal RNA
Rfam family: Bacterial small subunit ribosomal RNA
Source: RNAcentral
CAGUCGCCGCGGUAAUACAGAGGGUGCGAGCGUUAAUCGGAUUUACUGGGCGUAAAGCGUGCGUAGGCGGCUAAUUGAGUCGGAUGUGAAAUCCCCGAGCUUAACUUGGGAAUUGCAUUCGAUACUGGUUAGCUAGAGUGUGGGAGAGGAUGGUAGAAUUCCAGGUGUAGCGGUGAAAUGCGUAGAGAUCUGGAGGAAUACCGAUGGCGAAGGCAGCCAUCUGGCCUAACACUGACGCUGGGGUGCGAAAGCAUGGGGAGCAAACAGGAUCAGAUACCCCAGUAGUCCCUGUCUCUUAUAC